Molecule: ribosomal RNA, 253 nt
Filed under: uncultured bacterium
Lineage: Bacteria
Description: partial 16S ribosomal RNA
Rfam family: Bacterial small subunit ribosomal RNA
Source: RNAcentral
UACAGAGGGAGCAAGCGUUGUUCGGAAUUACUGGGCGUAAAGGGCGCGUAGGCGGUUCGAUAAGUCCCGUGUGAAAUCCCUCGGCUCAACUGAGGAAUUGCACGGGAAACUGACGGGCUUGAGUUCGGGAGAGGGAAGCGGAAUUCCCCAAGUAGAGGUGAAGUUCGUAGAUAUGGGGAGGAACACCGGUGGCGAAGGCGGCCAUCUGGACGAUUACUGACGCUGAGACGCGAAAGCGUGGGGAGCAAACAGG